RNAcentral lists this ribosomal RNA (460 nucleotides) under uncultured bacterium. RNAcentral describes it as "partial 16S ribosomal RNA". It matches the Rfam family "Bacterial small subunit ribosomal RNA", at positions 338 to 795 of the family's 1533-position model. The record is from RNAcentral.
CCUACGGGAGGCAGCAGUGAGGAAUAUUGGUCAAUGGGCGGAAGCCUGAACCAGCCAAGUCGCGUGAGGGAUUAAGGCCCUAUGGGUCGUAAACCUCUUUUGUCAGGGAGCAAUGGCGUCCACGUGUGGGCGUAUGGAGAGUACCUGAAGAAAAAGCAUCCGCAAACUCCGUGCCAGCAGCCGCGGUCAUACGGAGGAUGCGAGCGUUAUCCGGAUGUAUUGGGUUUAAGGGGUGCGUAGGCGGGCCUUAAAGUCAGCGGUAAAAUUAUGGUGCUCAACGCCGUAGAGCCGUUGAAACUGGGGUUCUGGAGGGUGCGAGAAGUAUGCGGAAUGCGUGGUGUAGCGGUGAAAUGCAUAGAUAUCACGCAGAACCCCGAUUGCGAAGGCAGCAUACCGGCGCUCAACUGACGCUGAGGCACGAAAGUGCGGGUAUCGAACAGGAUUAGAUACCCCAGUAGUC